GAUGAACGCUGGCGGCGUGCUUAACACAUGCAAGUCGAGCGAUGAAGUUUCCUUCGGGAAACGGAUUAGCGGCGGACGGGUGAGUAACACGUGGGUAACCUGCCUCAUAGAGUGGAAUAGCCUUCCGAAAGGAAGAUUAAUACCGCAUAAUGUUGAAAGAUGGCAUCAUCAUUCAACCAAAGGAGCAAUCCGCUAUGAGAUGGACCCGCGGCGCAUUAGCUAGUUGGUGGGUAACGGCCUACCAAGGCGACGAUGCGUAGCCGACCUGAGAGGGUGAUCGGCCACAUUGGGACUGAGACACGGCCCAGACUCCUACGGGAGGCAGCAGUGGGGAAUAUUGCACAAUGGGGGAAACCCUGAUGCAGCAACGCCGCGUGAGUGAUGAAGGUUUUCGGAUCGUAAAGCUCUGUCUUUGGGGAAGAUAAUGACGGUACCCAAGGAGGAAGCCACGGCUAACUACGUGCCAGCAGCCGCGGUAAUAGUGUGUGUAC
This 491-nucleotide ribosomal RNA is filed under the name uncultured bacterium. RNAcentral describes it as "bacterial SSU rRNA". It matches the Rfam family "Bacterial small subunit ribosomal RNA", at positions 28 to 535 of the family's 1533-position model. The record is from RNAcentral.